This is a long non-coding RNA of Carassius carassius (crucian carp), 441 nucleotides long. RefSeq lists it as uncharacterized. The transcript has 4 exons. Lineage: Eukaryota; Metazoa; Chordata; Actinopteri; Cypriniformes; Cyprinidae. The record is from RefSeq and is a predicted model, not a curated record.
ACGUAGUGAAUAAUGAAAGGACACAAUCGUUUUGUAUGUGUAUGCCUUUAGCAUUUGUUGUAUAAUGUUAAAAAGGUCAUAUGAGGAGGUUGUUUUCAUAUUUAAUUUUUCAUUCACUUCCAGGGAUAGGAUUGGCAUGGAAGAUGCAGCACUCUUUACAUUUUAAAUAUCAAAUGUAUAUCAAGUGUUAUCCAUGCUCAUAACACCUCCACAAAUAGAGACUGGAUCUUCUGUGCACCAUCAUCUUGUCUGCUUUGGGACUGUCAAAGCCCAGCAAUCAGAUGCAUCAGAACAACAAAGCACAACUGUGGUGGCCCAGGAACCUUCAGCAACAAGUGCAGUGAAGAUAUUUAAAGAGACACUAUCACAUAAAGUACAGAAAGCCUUACAUCAUCUCUAGGUGCAGUCGCCUACAGUGCAGCCAGCUUCACAAAGACUGUG